RNAcentral lists this ribosomal RNA (87 nucleotides) under Microbacterium bovistercoris. RNAcentral describes it as "Microbacterium sp. NEAU-LLE partial 16S ribosomal RNA". It matches the Rfam family "Bacterial small subunit ribosomal RNA", at positions 1 to 83 of the family's 1533-position model. Lineage: Bacteria; Bacillati; Actinomycetota; Actinomycetes; Micrococcales; Microbacteriaceae. The record is from RNAcentral.
UUUUUACGGAGAGUUUGAUCCUGGCUCAGGAUGAACGCUGGCGGCGUGCUUAACACAUGCAAGUCGAACGAUGAACCGGGUGCUUGC